CGGUGGCUUUGGAAAUGUCUAGAAUUUCUUUAGUUUGGAUAACUAGGGAAUUAAACCUUUUUUUUUUUUUCUGUUUUUAAAUCAAAGUUUCGGAUUCAGCAAUUAUCAAAUUGAUAUGAGGAAGGUUUGUUUGAUGAUGGAUUUUGCCUUUAAGCUCUCUAACUCUGUUUCAAGCCUAUGCAUUUUUCUUUGGAUCCAGUGGUGUACGUAGGAGUAUACUGCAAAUUAUAAAUCUCCACUUCUCGCGAUAUUUACAUCCGUGUGCUGCCUUAGGAUUGAUAUUUUGGGGUCCAUCAUGAUGUAAUUUUCUAUUUUGCCACAGUUUUAAUAAGGGCUGACAGAUUUUUUGGCACACAUUCACGGGGCCCCUUUGGUGAUGUUUUCUUAGCGACUCAUCACCAAUUGGGUCAUGAUUUUCAGGAGUAUCGUGAAGUGGCUGUCAAGGUGCUGCAUCCAUUAAAGGAGGGCUAUACUCAAAAGUUUCUGGACAAGUUUAAGGAGUUAUUUUUUAAGUGCCUAGCACGACCAGGUGUUUGUUUGUUGCAUGGUAUCAAUAGUUAAAGGAAAGGCGACUUCCUUGAAUUUGAAUAUAGUUUUUUUAAACACGCGGAAAUUCUUUCCUAUCUCUCACCACAUUGGUUCACUUCUGAUGCCUUUUCAGAUCUGCAUUGUGAUGAAAUUUUAUGAGGGAUCAGCGGGUGAUCGAAUGGCUCGGCUCAAAGGUGGCAAUCUUCAAUUGUCUGAUGUUUUAAGGUAUGGGAUCAAAUUGGCAAAAGCGAUUAUAGAGUUGCAUUCAAUUGGGACCCGGGUGCUGAACCUCAAGCCUUGUAACUUUCUGCUUAAUGAAUUGAAGUUGCUGGUUUAUGAACUGGUUUGUUGGUGGAAAUGUUGGGUAGAAAUGUUGAUACUGAAAUGUACUACAAAUUGGCCUUUGUUGGGUGAUACUGAAUGUUGGUGGAUUUUGGGAUGC
This is a long non-coding RNA of Juglans microcarpa x Juglans regia, 970 nucleotides long. RefSeq lists it as uncharacterized. The record is from RefSeq and is a predicted model, not a curated record. Lineage: Eukaryota; Viridiplantae; Streptophyta; Magnoliopsida; Fagales; Juglandaceae. The transcript is spliced from 2 exons.